UCAAAGUGCACAUAUCUUUUC
RNAcentral lists this non-coding RNA (21 nucleotides) under Arabidopsis thaliana (thale cress). Lineage: Eukaryota; Viridiplantae; Streptophyta; Magnoliopsida; Brassicales; Brassicaceae. The record is from RNAcentral.